GAUGAACGCUGGCGGCGUGCCUAAUACAUGCGAGUCGAGCGAACAGACGAGGAGCUUGCUCCUCUGACGUUAGCGGCGGACGGGUGAGUAACACGUGGAUAACCUACCUAUAAGACUGGGAUAACUUCGGGAAACCGGAGCUAAUACCGGAUAAUAUAUUGAACCGCAUGGUUCAAUAGUGAAAGACGGUUUUGCUGUCACUUAUAGAUGGAUCCGCGCCGCAUUAGCUAGUUGGUAAGGUAACGGCUUACCAAGGCGACGAUGCGUAGCCGACCUGAGAGGGUGAUCGGCCACACUGGAACUGAGCCACGGUCCAGACUCCUACGGGAGGCAGCAGUAGGGAAUCUUCCGCAAUGGGCGAAAGCCUGACGGAGCAACGCCGCGUGAGUGAUGAAGGUCUUCGGAUCGUAAAACUCUGUUAUUAGGGAAGAACAAAUGUGUAAGUAACUAUGCACGUCUUGACGGUACCUAAUCAGAAAGCCACGGCUAACUACGUG
RNAcentral lists this ribosomal RNA (497 nucleotides) under uncultured bacterium. Its description in RNAcentral is "partial 16S ribosomal RNA". It matches the Rfam family "Bacterial small subunit ribosomal RNA", at positions 28 to 507 of the family's 1533-position model. The record is from RNAcentral.